CCUACGGGUGGCAGCAGUAGGGAAUCUUCCACAAUGGGCGAAAGCCUGAUGGAGCAACGCCGCGUGGGUGAAGAAGGUCUUCGGAUCGUAAAACCCUGUUGUUAGAGAAGAAAGUGCGUGAGAGUAACUGUUCACGUUUCGACGGUAUCUAACCAGAACGCCACGGCUAACUACGGGCCAGCAGCCGCGGUAAUACGUAGGUGGCAAGCGUUAUCCGGUUUUAUUGGGCGUAAAGGGUACGCAGGCGGUCUUUUAAGUCUGAUGUGAAAGCCGUCGGCUUAACCGGAGUAGUGCAUUGGAAACUGGGAGACUUGAGUGCAGAAGAGGAGAGUGGAACUCCAGGUGUAGCGGUGAAAUGCGUAGAGAUAUGGAAGAACACCAGUGGCGAAAGCGGCUCUCUGGACUGUAACUGACGCUGAGGUUCGAAAGCGUGGGUAGCAAACAGGAUUAGAUACCCGAGUAGUC
Molecule: ribosomal RNA, 465 nt
Filed under: uncultured bacterium
Lineage: Bacteria
Description: partial 16S ribosomal RNA
Rfam family: Bacterial small subunit ribosomal RNA
Source: RNAcentral